UACGUAGGGUGCAAGCGUUGUCCGGGAUUAUUGGGCGUAAAGAGCUCGUAGGCGGUCUGUCGCGUCUGGUGUGAAAACUCAAGGCUUAACCUUGGGCCUGCAUCGGGUACGGGCAGACUAGAGUGCGGUAGGGGAGACUGGAAUUCCUGGUGUAGCGGUGAAAUGCGCAGAUAUCAGGAGGACCACCGGUGGCGAAGGCGGGUCUCUGGGCCGAUACUGACGCUGAGGAGCGAAAGCGUGGGGAGCGAACAGG
RNAcentral lists this ribosomal RNA (253 nucleotides) under uncultured bacterium. Its description in RNAcentral is "partial 16S ribosomal RNA". It matches the Rfam family "Bacterial small subunit ribosomal RNA", at positions 524 to 776 of the family's 1533-position model. The record is from RNAcentral.